RNAcentral lists this ribosomal RNA (1447 nucleotides) under uncultured bacterium. Its description in RNAcentral is "bacterial SSU rRNA". It matches the Rfam family "Bacterial small subunit ribosomal RNA". The record is from RNAcentral.
GUUUGAUCAUGGCUCAGGAUGAACGCUGGCGGCGUGCUUAACACAUGCAAGUCGAACGAACCUUCGGGUUAGUGGCGGACGGGUGAGUAACGCGUGAGAAUCUGCCCUCAGGAGGGGGAUAACGGCUGGAAACGGCCGCUAAUACCCCAUAUGCCGAGAGGUGAAACGAAUUUCGCCUGAGGAUGAGCUCGCGUCUGAUUAGCUAGUUGGUGGGGUAAGAGCCUACCAAGGCAUCGAUCAGUAGCUGGUCUGAGAGGAUGAUCAGCCACACUGGGACUGAGACACGGCCCAGACUCCUACGGGAGGCAGCAGUGGGGAAUUUUCCGCAAUGGGCGCAAGCCUGACGGAGCAACGCCGCGUGAGGGAUGAAGGCCUCUGGGCUGUAAACCUCUUUUAUCAAGGAAGAAGAUCUGACGGUACUUGAUGAAUAAGCCACGGCUAAUUCCGUGCCAGCAGCCGCGGUAAUACGGGAGUGGCAAGCGUUAUCCGGAAUUAUUGGGCGUAAAGCGUCCGCAGGCGGUCUUGUAAGUCUGUCGUUAAAGCGUGGAGCUUAACUCCAUUUGAGCGAUGGAAACUGUAAGACUAGAGUGUGGUAGGGGCAGAGGGAAUUCCCGGUGUAGCGGUGAAAUGCGUAGAUAUCGGGAAGAACACCAGUGGCGAAGGCGCUCUGCUGGGCCAUAACUGACGCUCAUGGACGAAAGCCAGGGGAGCGAAAGGGAUUAGAUACCCCUGUAGUCCUGGCCGUAAACGAUGAACACUAGGUGUCGGGGGAAUCGACCCCCUCGGUGUCGUAGCCAACGCGUUAAGUGUUCCGCCUGGGGAGUACGCACGCAAGUGUGAAACUCAAAGGAAUUGACGGGGGCCCGCACAAGCGGUGGAGUAUGUGGUUUAAUUCGAUGCAACGCGAAGAACCUUACCAGGGUUUGACAUCCUGCGAAUCUCUUGGAAACGAGAGAGUGCCUUCGGGAACGCAGUGACAGGUGGUGCAUGGCUGUCGUCAGCUCGUGUCGUGAGAUGUUGGGUUAAGUCCCGCAACGAGCGCAACCCACGUCGUUAGUUGCCAGCAUUCAGUUGGGCACUCUAGCGAGACCGCCGGUGAUAAACCGGAGGAAGGUGUGGAUGACGUCAAGUCAUCAUGCCCCUUACAUCCUGGGCUACACACGUACUACAAUGCUACGGACAAAGGGCAGCAAACUCGCGAGAGCUAGCAAAUCCCAUAAACCGUGGCUCAGUUCAGAUCGUAGGCUGCAACUCGCCUACGUGAAGGAGGAAUCGCUAGUAAUCGCAGGUCAGCAUACUGCGGUGAAUACGUUCCCGGGCCUUGUACACACCGCCCGUCACACCAUGGAAGUUGGCCACGCCCGAAGCCGUUACUCCAACCCUCGUGGAGGAGGAUGUCGAAGGUGGGGCUGAUGACUGGGGUGAAGUCGUAACAAGGUAACCGUAG